This 34-nucleotide transfer RNA is filed under the name Contia tenuis. RNAcentral describes it as "partial tRNA-Leu". The record is from RNAcentral. RNAcentral also lists the same sequence under 1 other name. Lineage: Eukaryota; Metazoa; Chordata; Lepidosauria; Squamata; Dipsadidae.
ACCAAAGGAUAAUAGUAUUCCACUGGUCUUAGGC